CGUAGGGUGCAAGCGUUGUCCGGAAUUAUUGGGCGUAAAGAGCUCGUAGGCGGUCUGUUGCGUCGGCUGUGAAAACCCGGGGCUCAACCCCGGGCCUGCAGCCGAUACGGGCAGACUAGAGUUCGGCAGGGGAGACUGGAAUUCCUGGUGUAGCGGUGAAAUGCGCAGAUAUCAGGAGGAACACCGGUGGCGAAGGCGGGUCUCUGGGUCGAUACUGACGCUGAGGAGCGAAAGCGUGGGGAGCGAACAGGAUUAGAUACCCUGGUAGUCCACGCCGUAAACGUUGGGCGCUAGGUGUGGGUUCCCUUCCACGGGAUCCGUGCCGCAGCUAACGCAUUAAGCGCCCCGCCUGGGGAGUACGGCCGCAAGGCUA
This 373-nucleotide ribosomal RNA is filed under the name uncultured organism. RNAcentral's name for it is "bacterial SSU rRNA". It matches the Rfam family "Bacterial small subunit ribosomal RNA", at positions 526 to 896 of the family's 1533-position model. The record is from RNAcentral.